This 507-nucleotide ribosomal RNA is filed under the name Triticum aestivum (bread wheat). Its description in RNAcentral is "partial small subunit ribosomal RNA". The record is from RNAcentral. Lineage: Eukaryota; Viridiplantae; Streptophyta; Magnoliopsida; Poales; Poaceae.
AUGCCAUCACAGAGGAAAAUUUCGGCCUUGCAAGCACUUGAAAUUGAAACAGCAGAUGAUUCAGGAAUUGUACCUUUGGUUUUGCUACUGGGGCUUGGCCAGGCAGGAGGGCGCCGAGGUCCAGCUGUCGCGACCCUGCCGUCAGAGGCCUCCUGCAGCCGUAAGAUAGCCCGGCGGCCCAGGCAUGCCCCUCGUCUGGUUGCUACCCUCCUCCUCGUCCAGGUCGGCCGUGCUGCUCCGGGACAUCGCCGUCGUCGUAUUCCUUGUCGAGCUCGUCGGGAGGAGACUCCAGCUUGCCGUUGUCGUCAAGCUCGUGGAUCUCGCCGUUGCUCUGCUUCUUGUGUACUUCGCCGUCUCCCUGCUGCUAGCAGCGAGAUACGUGUGGCGGUGAUGCUGCGCCGUCUCCGGUCAGCUCUCGCAGCAGCUGCGCCCUCCGGCCAUCCCUUGCAGCUGGCUCGGCCGGAGCAGUCUUGUGGAUUUGGGGAAACAGUGGCGGAGCUUCACUAG